This 315-nucleotide long non-coding RNA is filed under the name Elaeis guineensis (African oil palm). RNAcentral's name for it is "long non-coding RNA (EGUI_LNC003968)". Lineage: Eukaryota; Viridiplantae; Streptophyta; Magnoliopsida; Arecales; Arecaceae. The record is from RNAcentral.
AGUCCUGAAGCCUCAUAUAAUAGUUAUUGACCUCAUUCCUUAGUUAAAUCAGACCCACCAUUCUUGUGAAAGUAAAGUCAUCAUUGGAACACUCACCUAACAAUUAUUGGGCCCAACUCUAUCUCCUUAGUUAAAUCAGACCCAUCAUUCUUGUGAAAGUAAAGUCAUCAUUGGAACACUCACCUAACAAUUAUUGGGUCCAACUCUAUCUCCAUCCUGCAUUAUCUCAUGCCAAUAGAGUGGUUGUAUCUUUCCUGAUACAACUGAACCACUAUAUCCAAUCGAGAAUAAUCAACAUCGGAAGGGACCUGCACA